UUUAAUAUUUGUAAUUUUUUAUUUUCUUAUAUUAAUCGAAAAUUAACUGGUUAAUGUCGAACUGAUUCUUAGUUACUAUUGUAUCUGAACAAGAAAUAGAGAAUACGUUCAUAACCUUAAAAGAAGAUUGAUAUUUAGGUUAAAAUGUUGCCGAAAUAUAGAAAAAAAAGUUAUAUUUUGGAUAAACUACAUCAUGGAUUUGUAAAAAUUUGUAUGGGUGUUACAGUAAUUGGAGGAGUAGCUUUAGGAUAUAAAAUAUAUGUUUAUUUUCGAUAUAUAAAACCUGCAUUACGAGAAAUACAAAUGCAAAAUAAUAACGAUUUAUUAGAAGAAGGAAGAUAUAAACCGAUUGUUGGUUAAAAUAAAAGAAAUUUAAUAAUAAUUUAAUAAUAAAUUAAUAAUAAGUUUAAAAUAUGUAGAAAAGUUGUAAUAAAACAAUAGUUAAAAUAAAAUUUAUAAUUAUCAAUAA
Molecule: long non-coding RNA, 469 nt
Organism: Apis laboriosa (Himalayan honeybee)
Lineage: Eukaryota; Metazoa; Arthropoda; Insecta; Hymenoptera; Apidae
Exons: 2
Source: RefSeq, a predicted model, not a curated record